UUGCAUGUUGGGAACUCAUGUUCUGCUCCUCAUUCUGUUGGGAGUAAGACUACAUGUAUCUGCAGCAUGCUAUAUCAAAUAGAGCAGUUUUCAGGGCUGCUGGCCAUACAGUAAAGGUUAAGUUGUAGUCUAUUCUACAUAA
Molecule: small nucleolar RNA, 142 nt
Organism: Lemur catta (Ring-tailed lemur)
Lineage: Eukaryota; Metazoa; Chordata; Mammalia; Primates; Lemuridae
Product: small nucleolar RNA U109
Exons: 1
Source: RefSeq, a predicted model, not a curated record